This 191-nucleotide small RNA is filed under the name Bacillota bacterium. RNAcentral's name for it is "6S RNA". It matches the Rfam family "6S / SsrS RNA". Rfam says of the family: E. coli 6S RNA was the first non coding RNA to be sequenced, but its function was unknown until recently. It consists of 184 nucleotides that fold into an extended hairpin structure with a large single-stranded internal bulge. The record is from RNAcentral. Lineage: Bacteria; Bacillati; Bacillota.
UAUGUUCUGAAAUAUGCGUUAAGCUCUUAUUUUGAACCUACAUCAAUUUUACGGGAGUUCAAUAUUCUGAUGAGGAUAUGUACCAUCUUGUGAGACCUAUAACGGCAUUGAAGGCGAUAGAGACAUCAAUGAGGACACCCACCUAUCGAGAGAUAGGUGUCAAAAUAGAGUACCGGUAUUUUGGAUAUAAA